RNAcentral lists this unclassified non-coding RNA (250 nucleotides) under uncultured fungus. Its description in RNAcentral is "partial contains 5.8S ribosomal RNA, internal transcribed spacer 2, and large subunit ribosomal RNA". The stretch from base 1 to 52 matches the Rfam family "5.8S ribosomal RNA", at positions 103 to 154 of the family's 154-position model. The record is from RNAcentral. Lineage: Eukaryota; Fungi.
AACGCACAUUGCGCCCUCUGGUAUUCCGGGGGGCAUGCCUGUUCGAGCGUCAUUACACCUCUCAAGCUCAGCUUGGUAUCGGGUCUUCGCCCCUCGUGGACGGGCCUAAAAAAUCAGUGGCGGUGCAACCGGUCCUCAAGCGUAAUAGCAUGAAUAUCCCGCUUUGGAGUGACCGGGUGGACCUGCCAGACAACACCUCUAUAUUUCAAUGGUUGACCUCGGAUCGGGUAGGGAUACCCGCUGAACUUAA